Molecule: transfer RNA, 84 nt
Filed under: bacterium
Lineage: Bacteria
Description: tRNA-Leu
Rfam family: tRNA
About the family: Transfer RNA (tRNA) molecules are approximately 80 nucleotides in length. Their secondary structure includes four short double-helical elements and three loops (D, anti-codon, and T loops).
Source: RNAcentral
GCCCGGAUGGCGGAAUUGGUAGACGCGCUAGCUUCAGGUGCUAGUCUCCGCAAGGAGGUGGGGGUUCGAGUCCCCCUUCGGGCA